This 572-nucleotide ribosomal RNA is filed under the name Enterobacteriaceae bacterium 351F2. RNAcentral's name for it is "bacterial SSU rRNA". It matches the Rfam family "Bacterial small subunit ribosomal RNA", at positions 881 to 1453 of the family's 1533-position model. Lineage: Bacteria; Pseudomonadati; Pseudomonadota; Gammaproteobacteria; Enterobacterales; Enterobacteriaceae. The record is from RNAcentral.
UACGGCCGCAAGGUUAAAACUCAAAUGAAUUGACGGGGGCCCGCACAAGCGGUGGAGCACGUGGUUUAAUUCGAUGCAACGCGAAGAACCUUACCUGGUNUUGACAUCCACAGAACUUUCCAGAGAUGGAUUGGUGCCUUCGGGAACUGUGAGACAGGUGUUGCAUGGCUGUCGUCAGCUCGUGUUGUGAAAUNUUGGGUUAAGUNGCGCANCGAGCGCAACCCUUAUCNUUUGUUGCCAGCGGUUAGGCCGGGAACUCAAAGGAGACUGCCAGUGAUAAACUGGAGGAAGGUGGGGAUGACGUCAAGUCAUCAUGGCCCUUNCGACCAGGGCUACACACGUGNUACAAUGGCGCAUACAAAGAGAAGCGACCUCGNGAGAGCAAGCGGACCUCAUAAAGUGCGUCGUAGUCCGGAUUGGAGUCUGCAACUNGNCUCCAUGAAGUCGGAAUCGCUAGUAAUCGUAGAUCAGAAUGCUACGGUGAAUACGUUCCCGGGCCUUGUACACACCGCCCGUCACACCAUGGGAGUGGGUUGCAAAAGAAGUAGGUAGCUUAACCUUNGGGAGGGCGC